CAGAGUAAUCUUAAAGGUGACUGGACAACUCUUGUUUCUAUUUCUCAAAGCAAAGUUUUCUGGAAGUAGGGAUUCAUAAAAGCAAAAAGUGCAAAAACAGGUCCUUGCAGCCAACAUUGUCCAUACUCUGUAAGGUAACUAUCUUCGCUAAUCCCAUUGUUUACCAUAGGCCCAUAUUCCUUCGUGCCCUUCCUAUCCAAGUACAUGUCCAAAUGUUUUUAAAACACUAUAAUUGUACCUGCCUCCUCUGGGAGCUUUGAUUAAGUUUAGUAUAGUUACUGAAAGAUUAAGUUUUACAUUGGGAUAAGGCAAUUUUACUAGGUUGGAUUAUGAUAUGAUAAAAGUGGACUGGAAAAUAGAUAUUUGAAAAUAAAUCAGUGUCAGAGCAGCAGGGGGCACUCAAGAAGGAGAUGAUGAUGUUCCCAGUAAAAGAAAAAGAGGAAUUCUCAAAUGCAAAUUUCCAUGAAGAUACUAAAUAAUACGCGCUAAUAAGGCUAUAAAAAAUGAAAAUUAUAACAAAUAUCAAGAGUUCUAGUCAAAUCCUCUUGAGCAUACAGGAUUGAACGGCAGAAGAAAAUUAGGAAGUAAAAUUGUGCUUGAAAAAUGUUAGCAGCUAAACUCAAGGAAAUCCUUUGGUGUUCUAAAAAUAUGCUAGUGGAACGAUCUUAAUAUAGAUAAUGGUAGAUGUUAUUAGUCCUAUUGGAUACACAGAAAAAUAGUAUGAAAGGAAUUAGUGUAAACCAUGUUAUCACUUUCCAUUCUUCUUCAACUGCACUUAGCUCCAGAGGAAUGGAAGAUACCUCAUGUGGAUCAUUUAUUUAAAAAGUAAAAAGUUGCGACCUAAAUUCUUUGAUGUACAAGUGAAUGCAGGGUGGACACUGAUAUCAGGCGGACAUGCUAUUGUAAGUGGUGGAAAUGUUACUGGAAAAAAGACUUGGGAGUUAAAAUGUCAGUAUUUAGAGAGGAAAAGGUUAGGAUCAGUCACAAAUUUGUUGGAAUGUUUGGGACUAACUGACUUAAUAGAGUUUUUUUUAGAGAGGAGGGGACAAUAAAGGUAGAUCAUUCAAUGUAGCCUGGACGGAUUUUGGACACUUCACAAGCUUCACAUGAUUCAAAGUGCUGGAGUAACUCAGCAAGCCAGUCAACAUAAAUAGGACUUAUCCAGGUAUGCAGCCUGACCCACUGGUAAUUUGUGUCCAAUUUUGGAAAACAGUGUCUGCAGUUCCAUAUUUUUUGACUCAGUAAGCGAACACAAAGGAUAAUUAAUUUGAGUGAUUCCAUGGUUCAGUAUGAGGUGGAAUGCUUUUUGUGAUUUGUGGCCUGAUGGGCGGAAAAUACUCAAUUUGUGCUGUAAACCUCUAUAGCUCAACAUCCUAGCCUGUUCGCUGCCACGAUAGCGGACUAUGUAUUUAAUGGUUCAGUAGUAAUCAUUAUACAUGUGGACAGCAUUAGCUGAGUCAGCAGCCAAUGAUACUAAUGUACUCACAUUCCUAUUGACUCAGCAUUUAUGCCAUGAGCAUUUGUUGAAUCAGCAUGUAUAAAAUCAACUUUCAAUGAGCAGCUGUUUGCUCAUUAACGAGCAUUCACUGGGUCUUCGUUCCCUGACAGUUUUAUCACUGAUUCAUACAAGAUUCAGAAUCAGAAUAGUCUGCAUUCCACAAGAUGGUGUUUCCAGAUAUCAACCUCCCAGAUUCAGCACUCUAAAUAAUUAAAUCUUCAUCUAAAUCAUAUUUUUGACCUUUGUGGGAAUAACAGAUCAAUGGUUAACUUUCCACACUAGUAAAAGAGAUGUCGAGGCUAACUAUCUUGAAAAAGUAGUUGAAAUUUAAACCAAAUUUAAAUGCCAAUAAAUAACCAUAGAUUUUUUGCAAACCUAGUUGCAGUAAUAGUGACAUUGAAACUACAGGAGUGACACUAAAAACCUAUCUUGUUUUGGAAACAAUAUCUUCCAUCCUCAUUUAGCCUGGCUUCAGAUUCUCAGCAAUGUGUUCGACACUUAACUGCUCUCUGAAGUAGUCUUGUAAGGGGACAGGGCAAGUGGGGGGGAGCGCUGCCUGAGUGAAAUUCACACGGUGCAAAGCCAAUGUGAUACAGACACACACCGCGAUGAACAGGAAGGUUGGCGCUGUAAUUAAGAAGCUAAAAAGCACAGUGUAUGAUCAGGACUGUGAUUGGCGCUCAUUCCGUGACUUCCGCUUAGUGGCAAGAUGGCGCCGAUAACGUCAUUUCCGGCAAGAUGGAGCUGAGUGCGUCAUUUCCGGUUCGUGGCAAGAUGGCGCUGACUGCAGAAGGCAUAGUGAAGACGUUGUUGAAUAAUUCAAGAGAGCUGACUGCUCUGUCUAUGCAAAUAGCCAUCAAGAGGCAGUGAGCAGCAGAACACAAGAGACACAACAAGAAAGAACUUAAUAAUUCUCAUCUUUAACAUUUAAAUUGUUCUUAUAUUUUAAGUCAU
Long non-coding RNA from Leucoraja erinaceus (little skate), 2452 nucleotides. RefSeq lists it as uncharacterized. The record is from RefSeq and is a predicted model, not a curated record. Lineage: Eukaryota; Metazoa; Chordata; Chondrichthyes; Rajiformes; Rajidae. The transcript has 3 exons.